RNAcentral lists this long non-coding RNA (605 nucleotides) under Mus spicilegus (steppe mouse). RNAcentral's name for it is "lncRNA (ENSMSIG00000006816.1)". The record is from RNAcentral. Lineage: Eukaryota; Metazoa; Chordata; Mammalia; Rodentia; Muridae.
AACAGUGCUGCCAAGAGAGAAAACUGUUUUUACAAUGUCACUAAUGAAAGCUAAGAUCUUUGAAAUACAUAAGUUUCUAUACACUAGCUACCCCACUGUGUGGUGCUUAUGCUUAAAUCGUGAAGCCCUAUAUCCAGUGAAAAACCUCAGUCCUCAGCAAACCAAGAUAGAGUCUCACUGUGAUUCUGUCCCUGAGCACUGUAGAAUAAGGAAGGAUCAUUUCCAGAAGCUAGAAGCAGCACUAUUACCCAAGAAAGCUUCAGAAUCGUCCAAGUGGAUGCCAAAGAUCAUCAUAUCACACUAACCUUUAAAAUCAAGUUGUCUGCAGACAAAAGGACAUUUUCCUCCAGUUGUCUAAGUUAUAGGGAGUUUUGUUUGUAGCCCUGCUAAACUUACACAGAAAAGAAAAGGAAACAGUCAGAAUUAUGGGACUGUGUAUGAAAAAAAAAAAAAAAAAAAAACAACGAUGCCCAAAGUGAGGGACUAUAAGUCGCCGUAAUCCCUAGCAAAGUUACCUGGUAUUUUUAAUCAAUCAUCAAACAUUCAAAUGCCUUAUGGGUAUUUAUUUAAUACUGUACUAGAUGCUUGCCUUAAAAUAAACAAAC